ACCGGAGCUAAUACCGGAUAAUAUAUUGAACCGCAUGGUUCAAUAGUGAAGGACGGUUUUGCUGUCACUUAUAGAUGGAUCCGCGCCGCAUUAGCUAGUUGGUAAGGUAACGGCUUACCAAGGCAACGAUGCGUAGCCGACCUGAGAGGGUGAUCGGCCACACUGGAACUGAGACACGGUCCAG
RNAcentral lists this ribosomal RNA (184 nucleotides) under uncultured Staphylococcus sp. Its description in RNAcentral is "partial 16S ribosomal RNA". It matches the Rfam family "Bacterial small subunit ribosomal RNA", at positions 156 to 334 of the family's 1533-position model. Lineage: Bacteria; Bacillati; Bacillota; Bacilli; Caryophanales; Staphylococcaceae. The record is from RNAcentral.